This 1552-nucleotide ribosomal RNA is filed under the name Staphylococcus aureus. RNAcentral describes it as "16S ribosomal RNA from Staphylococcus aureus (PDB 7ASP, chain X)". It matches the Rfam family "Bacterial small subunit ribosomal RNA". Lineage: Bacteria; Bacillati; Bacillota; Bacilli; Caryophanales; Staphylococcaceae. RNAcentral also lists the same sequence under 7 other names. The record is from RNAcentral.
UUUAUGGAGAGUUUGAUCCUGGCUCAGGAUGAACGCUGGCGGCGUGCCUAAUACAUGCAAGUCGAGCGAACGGACGAGAAGCUUGCUUCUCUGAUGUUAGCGGCGGACGGGUGAGUAACACGUGGAUAACCUACCUAUAAGACUGGGAUAACUUCGGGAAACCGUAGCUAAUACCGGAUAAUAUUUUGAACCGCAUGGUUCAAAAGUGAAAGACGGUCUUGCUGUCACUUAUAGAUGGAUCCGCGCUGCAUUAGCUAGUUGGUAAGGUAACGGCUUACCAAGGCAACGAUGCAUAGCCGACCUGAGAGGGUGAUCGGCCACACUGGAACUGAGACACGGUCCAGACUCCUACGGGAGGCAGCAGUAGGGAAUCUUCCGCAAUGGGCGAAAGCCUGACGGAGCAACGCCGCGUGAGUGAUGAAGGUCUUCGGAUCGUAAAACUCUGUUAUUAGGGAAGAACAUAUGUGUAAGUAACUGUGCACAUCUUGACGGUACCUAAUCAGAAAGCCACGGCUAACUACGUGCCAGCAGCCGCGGUAAUACGUAGGUGGCAAGCGUUAUCCGGAAUUAUUGGGCGUAAAGCGCGCGUAGGCGGUUUUUUAAGUCUGAUGUGAAAGCCCACGGCUCAACCGUGGAGGGUCAUUGGAAACUGGAAAACUUGAGUGCAGAAGAGGAAAGUGGAAUUCCAUGUGUAGCGGUGAAAUGCGCAGAGAUAUGGAGGAACACCAGUGGCGAAGGCGACUUUCUGGUCUGUAACUGACGCUGAUGUGCGAAAGCGUGGGGAUCAAACAGGAUUAGAUACCCUGGUAGUCCACGCCGUAAACGAUGAGUGCUAAGUGUUAGGGGGUUUCCGCCCCUUAGUGCUGCAGCUAACGCAUUAAGCACUCCGCCUGGGGAGUACGACCGCAAGGUUGAAACUCAAAGGAAUUGACGGGGACCCGCACAAGCGGUGGAGCAUGUGGUUUAAUUCGAAGCAACGCGAAGAACCUUACCAAAUCUUGACAUCCUUUGACAACUCUAGAGAUAGAGCCUUCCCCUUCGGGGGACAAAGUGACAGGUGGUGCAUGGUUGUCGUCAGCUCGUGUCGUGAGAUGUUGGGUUAAGUCCCGCAACGAGCGCAACCCUUAAGCUUAGUUGCCAUCAUUAAGUUGGGCACUCUAAGUUGACUGCCGGUGACAAACCGGAGGAAGGUGGGGAUGACGUCAAAUCAUCAUGCCCCUUAUGAUUUGGGCUACACACGUGCUACAAUGGACAAUACAAAGGGCAGCGAAACCGCGAGGUCAAGCAAAUCCCAUAAAGUUGUUCUCAGUUCGGAUUGUAGUCUGCAACUCGACUACAUGAAGCUGGAAUCGCUAGUAAUCGUAGAUCAGCAUGCUACGGUGAAUACGUUCCCGGGUCUUGUACACACCGCCCGUCACACCACGAGAGUUUGUAACACCCGAAGCCGGUGGAGUAACCUUUUAGGAGCUAGCCGUCGAAGGUGGGACAAAUGAUUGGGGUGAAGUCGUAACAAGGUAGCCGUAUCGGAAGGUGCGGCUGGAUCACCUCCUUU